This 468-nucleotide ribosomal RNA is filed under the name uncultured bacterium. RNAcentral's name for it is "partial 16S ribosomal RNA". It matches the Rfam family "Bacterial small subunit ribosomal RNA", at positions 28 to 507 of the family's 1533-position model. The record is from RNAcentral.
GACGAGCGCUGGCGGCGUGCUUAACACAUGCAAGUCGAACGGAAAGGCCCUGCUUUUGUGGGGUGCUCGAGUGGCGAACGGGUGAGUAACACGUGAGUAACCUGCCCUUGACUUUGGGAUAACUUCAGGAAACUGGGGCUAAUACCGGAUAGGAGCUCCUGCUGCAUGGUGGGGGUUGGAAAGUUUCGGCGGUUGGGGAUGGACUCGCGGCUUAUCAGCUUGUUGGUGGGGUAGUGGCUUACCAAGGCUUUGACGGGUAGCCGGCCUGAGAGGGUGACCGGCCACAUUGGGACUGAGAUACGGCCCAGACUCCUACGGGAGGCAGCAGUGGGGAAUAUUGCACAAUGGGCGGAAGCCUGAUGCAGCAACGCCGCGUGCGGGAUGACGGCCUUCGGGUUGUAAACCGCUUUCGCCUGUGACGAAGCGUGAGUGACGGUAAUGGGUAAAGAAGCACCAGCUAACUACGUG